This 253-nucleotide ribosomal RNA is filed under the name uncultured bacterium. RNAcentral describes it as "partial 16S ribosomal RNA". It matches the Rfam family "Bacterial small subunit ribosomal RNA", at positions 524 to 776 of the family's 1533-position model. The record is from RNAcentral.
UACGAAGGACCCGAGCGUUAUCCGGAUUUAUUGGGUUUAAAGGGUGCGUAGGCGGAUUAAUAAGUCAGUGGUGAAAGCCCGUCGCUUAACGGCGGAACUGCCAUUGAUACUGUUAGUCUUGAGUAUGGUUGAGGUGGGCGGAAUGUGUCAUGUAGCGGUGAAAUGCUUAGAUAUGACCCAGAACACCAAUUGCGAAGGCAGCUCGCUAAGCCAUAACUGACGCUGAUGCACGAAAGCGUGGGGAGCAGACAGG